Long non-coding RNA from Gasterosteus aculeatus aculeatus (three-spined stickleback), 863 nucleotides. Lineage: Eukaryota; Metazoa; Chordata; Actinopteri; Perciformes; Gasterosteidae. The record is from Ensembl.
GGAAACUUAAAAUGUAUACUUAAAGAAAUGGCUAUUUGUAAAAGGCUUUUUGAAUGAACGCUCAUCUUUAAUGGACACGUUCUAACUCACGCACCCCAGUUUGAGAACUGUGUCCGCGGUGUGUGAACGAGUGACGGCUGCUUGGCGCGUUCCGCUUCCAAACCGGGUCCUGGCCGCGGCUCAGGGGAACGUUGGCCUCUCAUUAUCGGACUAAACGAAGCCACUCCGAGAAGAAACGCUAACGGACGUCGUGAGAAGCACAACGUAACCUGAAGCGUCUGAACUAAAUUAGCGAACAACGGACGCGGAAGUCAUCAAACUGGCUCGAUGUUGGUCAAUAUUAAAGAAGGCGGACUCACAUUUGCUCAUGUUUCUCAGCCAGAUCGGUGUCGCGCGCUGCACGCGCAGACAUGUUAACGUCAGCUGGUGGAAAUGAGUUAGCCUGUCAAGCUAAAAGCACACGACCGGAAGACGCUGUACUUCACAAUAAAAGCGUUGUUGAGAGUAGUGUGGCAGCCGUAGUGGCGCCCUGGGGGUCCCGCUAAGGGAUUUAUCUGAAGUCACCUGCUAAAUGGUUGAGAGGUCCUUUCCCAAUAUGCAUCCUUGUCUGGACUCGCGGUGGAGGUCCGCGCGUCCCUCCAUGGAUACGCCUCCCCACGCCAUCACUGACCCACCAGGUCACGCUGAACCACGUUGCCGCAGCAUGGCGUUCUCCUCGGCUUCUCCAGACCCUUUCACGUCCAUCACGGGUGCUCAGGGUGAACCUGCGCUCAUCUGUAAACAGUGCGCUGGCGUGCCCGUUCUGGUGCUCCAGAGCGAAUGCCAAUGUGGCUCCACGGCGCUGGGAAGCGAGCGCAGGGCCC